CCCUAUGCCUUCUGCUUUUAAUUUCCUCACAACUUCUCUGUUUCCCUUUCUCCCUUCUCUAUUAAGGUUGGAUGGAUGCUCGUGCUACCUUCUAUGGAGGGGAUGAUGCCUCUGGCACAAUAGUUAUGUGUGACAAUUUACUGUAAUGUUUCUGCCACACACGUUGUUAUGCAUGUUUAUGGUGGUGCUUGUGGAUAUGGAAACCUGUAUAGCCAGGGCUAUGGGACUAACACGGCUGCUUUGAGCACGGCCUUGUUCAACAAUGGUUCGAGCUGUGGAGCUUGCUUUGAGAUAAAGUGUGCCAGUGACCAAAGGUGGUGCCAUCCAGACACAGUUGUGGUCACUGCCACCAAUUUUUGCUCACCAAACAAUGCCCUCCCAAAUGAUGCAGGUGGCUGGUGCAACCCUCCCCUUCAACAUUUUGAUCUCUCUCAGCCUGUCUUCCAACAAAUAGCUUAAUACAGAGCUGGCAUAGUACCUGUAGCUUACAGAAGGUAGCUGAUUUUGUUUCAAUUUUUCAUAUUCUUUUCCUAAUCAUUUAAGGAUGUGUCAUGGUUCACUAGGAAUAGGAAUACUAGCUAUUAACACAUUUUCUAAGAGCAUUUCUAUUUUCUAGCACUAGUUCUUGCUAGGUUCUUAAGUACAAGAAAUGUUCUUAUUUAGUUUGUGGUUAGAGAAGGCUGAGUUGGAAGUCACGGAAUUAGAACAUUUCUUAUGUAAGAACCAAUUCUCAACAUGAAAGUAUAUUUUUUUAGCAGAAAGUAUAAAGAUAUGGAGUAA
Long non-coding RNA from Glycine soja, 780 nucleotides. RefSeq lists it as uncharacterized. The transcript is spliced from 3 exons. The record is from RefSeq and is a predicted model, not a curated record. Lineage: Eukaryota; Viridiplantae; Streptophyta; Magnoliopsida; Fabales; Fabaceae.